UCCCAGCUGUAAACGAUGCAGACUAGAUGAUGCAUUGGCAUAAUAGCCAUUGCAGUGUCUCAGGGAAGCCGUUAAGUCUGCCGCCUGGGAAGUACGUACGCAAGUAUGAAACUUAAAGGAAUUGGCGGGGGAGCACCACAAGGGGUGAAGCCUGCGGUUCAAUUGGAGUCAACGCCAGAAAUCUUACCCGGAGAGACAGCAGAAUGAAGGUCAAGCUGAAGACUUUACCAGACAAGCUGAGAGGUGGUGCAUGGCCGUCGCCAGCUCGUGCCGUGAGAUGUCCUGUUAAGUCAGGUAACGAGCGAGAUCCCUGCCGCUAGUUGCUAUCAUUAUUCUCAGGAAUAGUGGGGCGAAUUAGUGGGACUGCCGUUGUUAAAACGGAGGAAGGAAGGGGCUACGGCAGGUCAGUAUGCCCCGAAACUCUGGGGCCACACGCGGGCUGCAAUGGUAGUGACAAUGAGUUCCAAACUCGAAAGAGAGUGGCAAUCUCUAAACGCUACCACAGUUAUGACUGAGGGCUGUAACUCGCCCUCACGAAUAUGGAAUCCCUAGUAACCGCGUGUCAUUACCGCGCGGUGAAUACGUCCCUGCUCCUUGCACACACCGCCCGUCGUUUCAUCGAAGUUUGCUUUUAGCGAGGUGAUGUUUAAUUGGC
RNAcentral lists this ribosomal RNA (655 nucleotides) under marine metagenome. RNAcentral describes it as "bacterial SSU rRNA". It matches the Rfam family "Archaeal small subunit ribosomal RNA", at positions 745 to 1398 of the family's 1478-position model. The record is from RNAcentral.